CAUCAACAUUCUCACCUAAAGAGAAUGGUAAUAAUAGGUCCGCCUGGCAACAUGGUUGAGGAUAGUCCAUGAAUUAAUGAAUGUAAAACAUGGAGUAAUACAUGCUUGAUACACAUGGACUUACCUGGAGCUUCCUGGAAUUCUGAUUAUUCAUUCUAAGUAGGCCAUGAAGGACAGAUUGAAGAGAGGAUCUGAAAACCAGAACAAGAUUUGAAGCAAUGUCAAGGAUGGUAAGAUGCACACAAUCAAAGCUAGGGGAAAGGACAGAAGAGGCAGAGGAGAGCAUGCAAGCCAAGCCGACCUGUGUGGGAAGUAGGAGCCAUGUUCUAGGAAUGG
Molecule: long non-coding RNA, 336 nt
Organism: Canis lupus familiaris (dog)
Lineage: Eukaryota; Metazoa; Chordata; Mammalia; Carnivora; Canidae
Exons: 3
Source: RefSeq, a predicted model, not a curated record